UUAUAUCGAAGCUGGAAUGUCAUGCCUCCAUUGCAGAGGACGACAGGAACGUUUCUGCAAACACCCACUUUGAGGAGUGGUGGUUUAAAACUUUCUUACUUGCAUACGGCAAGAUGUAGCGAAAGC
This 126-nucleotide small RNA is filed under the name Bacillus spizizenii str. W23. RNAcentral's name for it is "Bacillus subtilis subsp. spizizenii str. W23 6Sa RNA". The record is from RNAcentral. Lineage: Bacteria; Bacillati; Bacillota; Bacilli; Caryophanales; Bacillaceae.